UCCGGUUGAUCCUGCCGGACCUGACUGCUAUCGGAUUGAUACUAAGCCAUGCGAGUCAUUGUAGCAAUACAAGGCAUACGGCUCAGUAACGCGUAGUCAACCUAACCUAUGGACGGGAAUAACCUCGGGAAACUGAGAAUAAUGCCCGAUAGAACACUAUACCUGGAAUGGUUUAUGUUCCAAAUGAUUUAUCGCCGUAGGAUGGGACUGCGGCCUAUCAGUUUGUUGGUGAGGUAAUGGCCCACCAAGACUAUUACAGGUACGGGCUCUGAGAGGAGUAGCCCGGAGAUGGGUACUGAGACACGGACCCAGGCCCUAUGGGGCGCAGCAGGCGAGAAAACUUUGCAAUGUGCGAAAGCACGACAAGGUUAAUCCGAGUGAUUUGUGCUAAACGAAUCUUUUGUUAGUCCUAGAAACACUAACGAAUAAGGGGUGGGCAAGUUCUGGUGUCAGCCGCCGCGGUAAAACCAGCACCUCAAGUGGUCAGGAUGAUUAUUGGGCCUAAAGCAUCCGUAGCCGGCUCUGUAAGUUUUCGGUUAAAUCUGUACGCUUAACGUACAGGCUGCCGGGAAUACUGCAGAGCUAGGGAGUGGGAGAAGUAGACGGUACUCGGUAGGAAGUGGUAAAAUGCUUUGAUCUAUCGAUGACCACCUGUGGCGAAGGCGGUCUACUAGAACACGUCCGACGGUGAGGGAUGAAAGCUGGGGGAGCAAACCGGAUUAGAUACCCGGGUAGUCCCAGCUGUAAACUAUGCAAACUCAGUGAUGCAUUGGCUUGUGGCCAAUGCAGUGCUGCAGGGAAGCCGUUAAGUUUGCCGCCUGGGAAGUACGUACGCAAGUAUGAAACUUAAAGGAAUUGGCGGGGGAGCACCACAAGGGGUGAAGCCUGCGGUUCAAUUGGAGUCAACGCCGGA
Molecule: ribosomal RNA, 913 nt
Filed under: uncultured marine archaeon
Lineage: Archaea
Description: bacterial SSU rRNA
Rfam family: Archaeal small subunit ribosomal RNA
Source: RNAcentral